UUCGUGCGAGAGACAGCGGCAGAGCGUUGGAGCUGCGGUUCUAUUGGGAUCAAUAGGGGCUGCCGGGGGAAGCCGUAUCCGAACACGAGAGGUGAAAUUCAUUGACUGUUCGGAGACGAACAUGUGCGAAGGCAGCUUCCAAGUAUGCCUUCAUUAAUCAAGAACCAAAGCGUGGAGAUCGAAGAUGAUCAGAUACCAUCGUAGUCCACGCUGUAAACGAUGGCGCCCAUGAGCUGGGCCUUUCGAUACUCCCCAGAGCACUCUUUCUUGACGGGAAACCUUUGAGGUUAUGGCCUCAUGGGGGAGUACGUUCGCAAGGCUGAAACU
This 327-nucleotide ribosomal RNA is filed under the name uncultured marine eukaryote. RNAcentral's name for it is "bacterial SSU rRNA". It matches the Rfam family "Eukaryotic small subunit ribosomal RNA", at positions 802 to 1144 of the family's 1831-position model. The record is from RNAcentral.